GCCUGAGUAGCUCAGCCAGGUAGAGCAACCGUUUCAUAGGCGGUGGGUCGCUGGUCCGAAUCCAGUCUCAGGCA
This 74-nucleotide transfer RNA is filed under the name Spirochaetes bacterium GWB1_59_5. RNAcentral describes it as "tRNA-Met". It matches the Rfam family "tRNA". Rfam says of the family: Transfer RNA (tRNA) molecules are approximately 80 nucleotides in length. Their secondary structure includes four short double-helical elements and three loops (D, anti-codon, and T loops). The record is from RNAcentral. Lineage: Bacteria; Pseudomonadati; Spirochaetota.